UAGACGCAGGUCAUCAACCUGCAUCGAUUACGUCCCUGCCCUUUGUACACACCGCCCGUCGCUUCUACCGAUUGGUCGUCCCGGUGAACAAUCGGGAGGCCGUGCUCAUGGUCAGCAAUGGCCGGAGCGCGGUCGAACUUUUGUAAAUUUGGACGACUAGAGGAAGAAGAAGUCGUAACAAGGUUUCCGUAGGUGAACCUGCGGAAGGAUCAUUAGCGUUAAUUGGUCUUGGUGCCAUGCGAAAAACAUGUGGAUCGUGGGCUAUGUGACCCCUCUGUGGGGGGUAUUUUGUCGCGAACUUGGAGAUUUGGCUGAUGGAUAUAUUAUAUAGAUAAACAAAAUACAACUCUUAGCAAUGGAUAUCUUGGUUCCCACAACGAUGAAGAACGCAGCGAAAUGCGAUACGUAAUGCGAAUUGCAGAAUUCAGUGAAUCAUCGAAUCUUUGAACGCAAGUUGCGCUUUCGAGAGCCCU
This 473-nucleotide unclassified non-coding RNA is filed under the name Polymyxa graminis. Its description in RNAcentral is "sequence contains 18S rRNA gene, ITS1, 5.8S rRNA gene". The stretch from base 1 to 215 matches the Rfam family "Eukaryotic small subunit ribosomal RNA", at positions 1618 to 1831 of the family's 1831-position model. Lineage: Eukaryota; Endomyxa; Phytomyxea; Plasmodiophorida; Plasmodiophoridae. The record is from RNAcentral.